GCACUCUCGUUUAGAUUGAAGGAGCUUGCUCCUGAUUGAUAAACAUUUGAGUGAGUGGCGGACGGGUGAGUAACACGUGGGUAACCUGCCCUAAAGUGGGGGAUAACAUUUGGAAACAGAUGCUAAUACCGCAUAAAACCUAACACCGCAUGGUGUAGGGUUGAAAGAUGGUUUCGGCUAUCACUUUAGGAUGGACCCGCGGUGCAUUAGUUAGUUGGUGAGGUAAAGGCUCACCAAGACCGUGAUGCAUAGCCGACCUGAGAGGGUAAUCGGCCACACUGGGACUGAGACACGGCCCAGACUCCUACGGGAGGCAGCAGUAGGGAAUCUUCCACAAUGGACGAAAGUCUGAUGGAGCAACGCCGCGUGAGUGAAGAAGGUUUUCGGAUCGUAAAACUCUGUUGUUGGAGAAGAAUGUAUCUGAUAGUAACUGAUCAGGUAGUGACGGUAUCCAACCAGAAAGCCACGGCUAACUACGUGCCAGCAGCCGCGGUAAUACGUAGGUGGCAAGCGUUGUCCGGAUUUAUUGGGCGUAAAGCGAGCGCAGGCGGUUUCUUAAGUCUGAUGUGAAAGCCUUCGGCUCAACCGAAGAAGUGCAUCGGAAACUGGGAAACUUGAGUGCAGAAGAGGACAGUGGAACUCCAUGUGUAGCGGUGAAAUGCGUAGAUAUAUGGAAGAACACCAGUGGCGAAGGCGGCUGUCUGGUCUGUAACUGACGCUGAGGCUCGAAAGCAUGGGUAGCAAACAGGAUUAGAUACCCUGGUAGUCCAUGCCGUAAACGAUGAGUGCUAGGUGUUGGGAGGGUUUCCGCCCUUCAGUGCCGCAGCUAACGCAUUAAGCACUCCGCCUGGGGAGUACGACCGCAAGGUUGAAACUCAAAGGAAUUGACGGGGGCCCGCACAAGCGGUGGAGCAUGUGGUUUAAUUCGAAGCAACGCGAAGAACCUUACCAGGUCUUGACAUCCUUUGACCACUCUAGAGAUAGAGCUUUCCCUUCGGGGACAAAGUGACAGGUGGUGCAUGGUUGUCGUCAGCUCGUGUCGUGAGAUGUUGGGUUAAGUCCC
This 1063-nucleotide ribosomal RNA is filed under the name Lactobacillus sp. LS23b. Its description in RNAcentral is "bacterial SSU rRNA". It matches the Rfam family "Bacterial small subunit ribosomal RNA", at positions 53 to 1088 of the family's 1533-position model. The record is from RNAcentral. Lineage: Bacteria; Bacillati; Bacillota; Bacilli; Lactobacillales; Lactobacillaceae.